UACGUAGGGUGCGAGCGUUAAUCGGAAUUACUGGGCGUAAAGCGUGCGCAGGCGGUUCGUUAAGUUCGUCGUGAAAGCCCCGGGCUCAACCUGGGAAUGGCGAUGGAAACUGGCGGGCUGGAGUAUGGCAGAGGGGGGUGGAAUUCCGCGUGUAGCAGUGAAAUGCGUAGAGAUGCGGAGGAACACCGAUGGCGAAGGCAGCCCCCUGGGCCAAUACUGACGCUCAGGCACGAAGGCGUGGGGAGCAAACAGG
RNAcentral lists this ribosomal RNA (253 nucleotides) under uncultured bacterium. RNAcentral describes it as "partial 16S ribosomal RNA". It matches the Rfam family "Bacterial small subunit ribosomal RNA", at positions 524 to 776 of the family's 1533-position model. The record is from RNAcentral.